GACGAACGCUGGCGGCGUGCCUAAUACAUGCAAGUCGAGCGAAUGGAUUAAGAGCUUGCUCUUAUGAAGUUAGCGGCGGACGGGUGAGUAACACGUGGGUAACCUGCCCAUAAGACUGGGAUAACUCCGGGAAACCGGGGCUAAUACCGGAUAACAUUUUGAACCGCAUGGUUCGAAAUUGAAAGGCGGCUUCGGCUGUCACUUAAGGAUGGACCCGCGUCGCAUUAGCUAGUUGGUGAGGUAACGGCUCACCAAGGCCACGAUGCGUAGCCGGCCUGAGAGUGUGAUGGGCCACACUGGGGCUGAGAGAACGCCGAGAAUCCUACGGGAGGCAGCAGUAGGGAAUCUUCCGCAAUGGAGGAAAGUCUGACGGAGCAAUGGCGCGUGAGUGAUGAAGGCUUUCGGGUCGUAAAACUCUGUUGUUAGGGAAGAACAAGUGCUAGUUGAAUAAGCUGGCACCUUGACGGUACCUAACCAGAAAGCCACGGCUAACUACGUGCCAGCAGCCGCAGUAA
RNAcentral lists this ribosomal RNA (515 nucleotides) under uncultured bacterium. RNAcentral describes it as "partial 16S ribosomal RNA". It matches the Rfam family "Bacterial small subunit ribosomal RNA", at positions 28 to 523 of the family's 1533-position model. The record is from RNAcentral.